This 2129-nucleotide long non-coding RNA is filed under the name Piliocolobus tephrosceles (Ugandan red Colobus). RNAcentral describes it as "lncRNA (ENSPTEG00000015126.1)". The record is from RNAcentral. Lineage: Eukaryota; Metazoa; Chordata; Mammalia; Primates; Cercopithecidae.
ACAUAUAAACAUCUGUAUACAUGUAUGUGUGUACAUUUUCUUUGUGAUUCAUAUAAAAAAAGAAAAUAAAUAAAGUAAAAAAUUAACAUAAAACUAAAUAUAAGAUAUCUUAAAAUACACAAGGAUGGCAAAAUAUAAAAGUGACAAAAAAAAAGAUGAAAUAAAGGAACUGUAUAGUAAGAAAGACGUGGACAUUACUACUGAUAGUCAUAAUAGUAAUAUAAGUGAUAGUACUAAUAGAGCAAAGAAUAAUAAACAUUGUAAAACAAUUAAACACAAUUAUAAUUCCAAUACAACAUUUAAUACUACUGUAAAUAAAAAAAAUAAAACAUCAAUGAAAGAUUGUAAGAUAAAAAAAAAAGAAAUAAAAAAAGACACCGAGUAUGAUUGUUAUAUUGUAAAUGACAAAAAGUGUAAUGAUAAAAAUUGUAAUGACAAGAACUAUGCAUUAAGUAACGCAUCGUCUUGUACUUUAUCCGUCGAAGAGUAUAACGAAGAGUCGUGUGUUCAAAAUAUUGAUGCCGUACAAAGUGAGACAUAUAUUGAUAACAUAGAUCAACUAAACCAAGAAGAAGAAAAACAUUUUUGUAAUGUUUGUUUUUCUUUUUUAUAUUAUAAAAAAUAUUGUUUUUAUGAAAUGUUAAGAAUAUAUCAAAGUUUCAGUUUAUUGAAUGAAGAAGAAAAAAAAUUAUUAACUGAAUCUAUAUAUUGUAAAGCUUAUAAAAUGUAUUUAUCUAUUUUAAACAAUUAUUAUUUUAUACUUAAUAUUUUAUUACCUCAAAUAUCAACACAUAUAAUAAUACAUUUGUUAACAUUUACUUUUCAUAAAAAUGAUGAAGUAGAACAAUAUUGUCCUAACCAUGAUGACAAUAUACAGGAAGAUGUUGAUCAUUAUAGUAAUAACAAAAAUGUAGGUGAUUUGUUGGAUAAAAAUAAUAAAAAUUAUAAAGAUUGUGAUAGGGGUAGUAACAAUAAUAACAACAAUUGUAACAAUAAUAAAAAAAUAUCAAAAGAAGAAAGUAUAGUUAAUGAAAUAAUUAAAAACUUAACACCACAAGAAAUAGAAAGUAUAGAUAAACAAUAUAAUUAUUAUAAUCUAAAUGUAAAAUUAUUAUGUAAAGAUGAUCCUUUAAUAAUAUUAAAUGAAAUAAAAUCAAAAAUUUUGAAUACAAGAAAUGAUAUUGAUAUAUAUAAGAUGAAUGAAUUGGAUUCAAAUUCAAAUUUUUUGUCUUCCGAUGAUGUUUAUGAAAGUAUUAAAAGUGAUAGUCUAGAGUCUACUGAAAAGAAGAAGUAUAUAGGACAAAAUAAGGAACUUAUAGAAGAACAAAAUAAGGAACUUAUAGACGAACAAAAUAAGAAACAUAUGGACGAACAAAAUAAGGAACUUAUAGACGAACAAAAUAAGAAACAUAUAGACGAACAAAAUAAGGAACUUAUAGACGGACAAAAUAAAAAACACAAAGAAGAUAUUCUUGAUAAUUUUCAUCGUACUAAUGUUAAACAUAAAAAAGAUAAAAAAUCUAACGGAUUGAAACGCACCAAAUACAAACCAGCCGAAAGUAAAACAAACGAUGAAGAAACAAAUGAUAAAAAGAAAAAUGAUCAAAAGAAAAAAGAUAAAAAGAAAAAAGAUAAAAAAACAAACAAUGAAAAAAAAAAUGAUGAAAAAACAAAUGAUGAAAAAACAAACGAUGAAAAAACAAACGAUGAAAAAACAAACGAUGAAAAAACAAACGAGAGUAAACAAAAGAGAGAAGACAAAACGAUAAAUGUUAAAGAAGAAACGUAUGAACACAUUAAUAAAAACAUACAAAAGAAAGAACAUAAUAGAAAAGUAAAGUUAUGUAACAUAUUUGAUAAUGCGAACAAAGAACAAACAAAAGAACAUUAUAAAGAAAAAAGUGAUACUAAUAAAGUAACAGAGAUGCAAAAUUUACCUAAACAUGAUAAUGAUGACAAGCAGAUUGGUUUUAUUAGCAGCCAUAACAGUGACUUUAACAAAAAUAAUAUUAACGACAACUUCGAUGACAACUUCGAUGACAACUGCAAUGACAACUUCGAUGACAACUGCAAUGACAACUGCAAUAACAAUAAUAACAAUAACAAUAAUAAUAGUGACAAUAAUAAUA